Molecule: long non-coding RNA, 770 nt
Filed under: Gossypium raimondii (Peruvian cotton)
Lineage: Eukaryota; Viridiplantae; Streptophyta; Magnoliopsida; Malvales; Malvaceae
Description: long non-coding RNA (GRAI_LNC005673)
Source: RNAcentral
GGCAGCCGAGCGUGCUCCUCCCACCUCCAGCUACUCCAACAGCCUCCUUAGGCCAUGAUUGCUCCACUGCCACCUAAAAACAAAGAGGAAGAAGACAAAAUUAAGGGAUUAAAAAGGAAAUUUGAAGAGAAGAAAGGGGGAUUUUUCGGCAACACAAAAAAAAAGGAAAAAUAGCAGAGAAACAAAAAAUCAAACAGCAACAAGCGAAAAGCCCACCCCACCGUCGAUCCCACCACCACCGUCGUCUCACCGCCAUCGUGACACCACCACCACCGUCACACCUAUACAAACAAACAAAGCAACAAGCAAAAAAUAUAAAAAUAGCAAGCAAAGAAAAAAACAGCAGCCAAAAAGAAAGAAGAGAAGAAAGAAAAAGAGAGAGAGGAGGAGAAGGGAGGCGCGCCGGCCACCGCACCACCGAACGGAAGAAGCAUCAGCGGCGUAAGGAGGCUAGGGUUCGGCCUGAAGAAGAAGAAAAAAAAAAGAAGAAAAAGAGAGAAGAAAAAAAGAGAAAAAAAUAUAUAUCACAGUCGGGUCAACCCGACCCGACCCGACCCGCGCUCCAGCAGCCCCAAAACAGCAGGCUUGUCCAGAAAAAAAAAAAGAAAACAAAAAAAUAGCAGGCCUGCAGCAGAAAAAAAAUAAAGCAGGCCCACCAGCAGGCCAUAGCCAAACGUCCAGCAGCUCCAGCAGGCCAGCAUCCAGUCCAGCAGGCCCAGUCCGCCAGUGCAGCCCAACAGCAGUGAAGCAGGCCCAAUUCGCAACGGCCC